GGUCCGUGAUGAGAAAUAGCCAAAUCUGACCACCAGAAGAUGUUUUAUCUUCUAGGUGUCAUGAUUUGUAUGCAGUUCUGAGA
Small nucleolar RNA from Junco hyemalis (dark-eyed junco), 83 nucleotides. Lineage: Eukaryota; Metazoa; Chordata; Aves; Passeriformes; Passerellidae. The record is from Ensembl.